CCUACGGGUGGCAGCAGUGGGGAAUAUUGCACAAUGGGGGAAACCCUGAUGCAGCGACGCCGCGUGAGUGAAGAAGUAUUUCGGUACGUAAAGCUCUAUCAGCAGGGAAGAAAAUGACGGUACCUGACUAAGAAGCCCCGGCUAACUACGUGCCAGCAGCCUCGGUAAUACGUAGGGGGCAAGCGUUAUCCGGAUUUACUGGGUGUAAAGGGAGCGUAGACGGCAGCGAAAGUCUGGAGUGAAAUCCCAUGGCUUAACCAUGGAACUGCUUUGGAAACUGUGCAGCUAGAGUGCAGGAGAGGUAAGCGGAAUUCCGAGUGUAGCGGUGAAAGGCGUAGAUAUUAGGAGGAACACCAGUGGCGAGGGCGGCUUACUGGACUGUAACUGACGUUGAGGAUCGAAAGCAUGGGGAGCAAACAGAAUUAGAUACCCGAGUAGUC
RNAcentral lists this ribosomal RNA (440 nucleotides) under uncultured bacterium. RNAcentral's name for it is "partial 16S ribosomal RNA". It matches the Rfam family "Bacterial small subunit ribosomal RNA", at positions 338 to 795 of the family's 1533-position model. The record is from RNAcentral.